Molecule: long non-coding RNA, 2157 nt
Filed under: Vombatus ursinus (common wombat)
Lineage: Eukaryota; Metazoa; Chordata; Mammalia; Diprotodontia; Vombatidae
Description: lncRNA (ENSVURG00010004248.1)
Source: RNAcentral
AAUGAUUUGAAUUCACAUCCUCUGAUGCCAAAUUGAAUUCUCAUUCCAUUUUUGUCCAUCUGCCCCAUCUAGGCUUGAGACAAUCCGGGCUUGGACCAGAGUGGUGGCAAUGACAGUAGAGAAACAGAAACUCUGAUCCUACGAGAAGAGUGGGCAGGAUCCGGUGUCCCAUUGGACGUAAGCAAUGAAGGAGACACAAUCAAAGGGGAAAAAGCGGACAGAAUUUCCAGCUCUUGCCCUCCUCAGGAGAACGUGGGUAUUGGACGCCAAAGGAGCAAGUCAUGCUUGACACAGGAAGUACGUGGUGAACAGGACCUCUUGACAGCCUUUCCAUUAUCCUCUUCAUCAACAGUCUUGUUGGAUUUCUGUUUUGACCCUGCCAGUGUCCCUGACCUCAUUAUCAUCCUACUGGGAAAAAAGAAGCAAAAAAUAACAAUAACAAAAAAAAAAACUGAAAUAAGCCAGAGAACAAAUCCUAGUCCCCCCUUUCCUCUCCAGAUUUCUUUUGCAUCAGAGAGAACCUUUCUUUGGUUGCUUUAUAGGAUUUGUGCUUUCAGGUAAAUGGCUUUAUUUCCUCCAUCUCUAUCACUCUGUAUGUCUUGGAAUUUCUGUCUUUGGUAAGAUUCUAAGUGAUUUGAAAUCUCUCCCUCAGUCAUAUAAUUUCUAUUUUAGCUAUACGAGAUUGCUAUUUUCUAAUUGAAUGUCCCAACUAUGAAAAAAAAUAUUAUUGAAAUAUUGAUUCCCCAGAGUACAGUUGGGAAUUUGGACACCCAAAUUAUUUUACUAGCAUAUGCUAAUACAAAUCUGAGUCAGAGGUUUUUCCAAAAGCAAUUUGUUGUGUUUCAGUCUUGAGCUUGGUAUAGGAGGUGGCCGAUAGUCAGUUAGCCACACAGAAAACACCACCUUAUAAUGGAAUCUGGUCGCACAGAUGAAGUCUGUGGUCUAGAGCUGCUACAGUGUACAUGUGGAAUGGGUCAGUGGGUACGAAUGAUAGAGACAGCAAGACUUGAAUUCAAAUCCCACUUCAGUGACUUUCUAGCUGUGUGACCCCACAGGAAAGGCAAUCUAUCUCAAUCUCAGUUUCCUCAUCUGGAAAAUGUGGAUAAUAAUAUCCCUUACCUCCCAGAAUUGUUGUGAGGAUGAAAUAAUGUAACCUAUGCUUGGUCAUUUGUAAACUUUAAAGUGGUGUUAUUAAUGCUAGCUAUUAUUGUUAUUUAGCAUAUUGGAGGUUUAAAAAAGACUUUUCCCCAUGAACCCCAAACCCCAUGAACCCCAGUUUGAAACAGAGUCUGCUUGAAGAAAGAGAUAAACCAAAUUGGGGUAUAUGUGUCUAUAGUUUAAUUUCUCCCAAGGUGGCUUGACAUGCAUUGCAUGGGAGUUCAGUCCAAAACUGGGCCCCCCUAAGGGGGCAGUUCAGAACUGACUUGGUUUGGGAUUUUGGGAUACAGCAUUAUAUACCCUUUCAACUGGUGCUCCUAUCAACCCGCCAUCAUUCCAGACCACUCCCAGACUCUAUCUCUCUGGGCAGUAGUGUCAGUCUCCACCCAAGCCUGAGUAGGAUAAAAUCAACCAGGUCUGGGUUGAGUUUGACCAAGAUGAGAAGGUUCAAUGCAAUUUCAUUAACAGAGAUGUUCUUCUGAACAACUUUGGAUAGAAGACUGGCAGGGUGGAACUCUGAGUCUCCAAAACACAGAUUACCAAGAGAAAUCAUUUUUCACAUUUCAUAUGCAGUUUUAAAAAAAAAUUAGUUUCUUGCUUGUUUGUUUUUUUGUUUGUUUGUUUGUUUUUGCAAAGGGCAUCAUCUGUCUCACAGCACAGACUCCCAGAGCAGGUGAUAGGCAGAUAUGGGCAAGAGGUACUCUCACUCCCAUAUAAUAUCGUCCAAACAGACUAGGUUUUGUGACUUAGUUAGGACACCCAUCUCCCAGUUCUGCACCUUGGUCCUAGUGGUUCUUCAGACUUGAGAUGAAACCAACCUAAUUUAUCUUGUAUUUAUUUUGUAUGUAGUUUACAUAGCCAUAAUUAGAAACAGUGUCUCCCCCAUUAGGAUGGAAGCUUCUUGAAGGUAAGAUCCAUUUCAUUUAUCAAUAUGUGCCUACUUGGCUAGGUACCUGGCCCAGAGUAAGCAUUUAAUAAAUGAUGUUUGAUACAUUGGCA